This 274-nucleotide ribosomal RNA is filed under the name uncultured bacterium. RNAcentral describes it as "partial 16S ribosomal RNA". It matches the Rfam family "Bacterial small subunit ribosomal RNA", at positions 523 to 796 of the family's 1533-position model. The record is from RNAcentral.
AUACGGAGGGUGCAAGCGUUGUUCGGAAUCACUGGGCGUAAAGGACGCGUAGGCGGGUUGGCAAGUCAGAUGUGAAAUCCUACAGCUUAACUGUAGAACUGCAUUUGAAACUGCUAACCUAGAGUAUGGGAGGGGGAGAUGGAAUUAGUGGUGUAGGGGUAAAAUCCGUAGAUAUCACUAGGAAUACCGAAAGCGAAGGCGAUCUCCUGGAACAUAACUGACGCUAAGGCGUGAAAGCGUGGGGAGCAAACAGGAUUAGAUACCCUAGUAGUCC